GUCUCUGGUCCUUCAAUUAGAUGCCUCUACUGCUGCUCACUUAGGCCCUGUCAACGGAGUGUACUCUGGCUCCACGUGCAAUGUAAUCAAGGCUGUGUGCAGAAGUUCUUUGGCAUAUCAGCACAUCUUGUUGAUUCAACAGACCAACUAACCAAGUUGGUGGUUUUCUGAUGGCAAGCUUGCUGAGAUUAGAUGUGCUCCUGCACCAUUGAAAAUUGACAAGAGGGAAUCAUCAACGCCUAUGGCUUACCUAUAUGGAGCCAUCAGAGCUGCUGGUACUCUUUGUCUCCUAUAUUUACUGCAUUUGGUGGCAUACAGUACAAAUUGCUUACAUAGUUCUAUUAUCCUCACAACUGACAUCCUCAGAUGCUACAUUGUUGUUAUAAAAGGGUCAAUAAAAACCAAAGUUUAUAUAUCUGAUGUAUUCAUCCUUCAUGAUCAACGCCCAAGUUAGAACUUGGAAGCACAUUGAUGCCCCCAUUUAUCAUGUUUUGCACUAUGCAGUAGCUGCAUAUUAGUCCAUCGAGUGACAAAUUUUCUCUGCCAAAUAUGUUUGGGACUUUGUGUUACAUGGAGUGCCCUGAUAGCUAGCGGGUAACAAGGAUGUCAACAAAUAAUUCUGGUACUGUUCUUAGUUGAAAUUACUGUAGGUGAAUGGCCUGUGGAACCUUGUGUGUAUUUUCGUACUAUGAUUAGUCAUUUUCUUACAGUGUAGGUACUUCAUUUUCAAUGUUGAUAUUUUGCACAAUUUUUUGUUUAUUAUUUAUUAUAUUUAUUAUGUAUUAUAUUUAGUUUCUACGUUUAUUGCUUGCUCACUGCUUUGUGGUAUUAAGGAGGUGGUUUGCUGUUUCAGACAGCAUGGCACUGCUGUAGUGUUGUUGCAUGCCUAUGGUUUAGGCCUGUAAGAUUUAUUUUUGUGCAGGAACACUGUCAUCAUUGUGCUUUUUAUAUUUUCUUGAGAUCAUGUCUGAUUCUAUUUUAACACGGGGCAUCAGCGGGUCUCUAAAGAGCGAGUGAUUUCGUGCCAUGCUCCAGCCAUAGUUUCUGCGAAAUUCAGCUAUGGGAUUGUUGUGAUGCCUAGAGAGGUAAGAGGUUGGGGUUAGAUCACAGCUUUGUCAUUUUCCCCCCUUCAUAGCCUUCAACAGAUUUAAAUCCACUAUGAAUACUUGUCCAUUACCUCUAUGUCGCUCUGCUAACAGUAGGCAGCUCAUCCGAAUAUAGAAAUCUUUUAUUCACCAUUGUCUUGACUCGAACCAUCAUUCUCAAAGCCAUGAGAAGAACAUUGAUCUGAAUACACCAGCCAAGGUGAUGUCUUCUUUAUUGACCAUAAUGUGGAGUCUGGACAUAUGCAGAUUGUGUUGUAAUCCUGACAUUACGAUUUAACAUGAGUCUGAACAUAUGCAGAUUGUGUUGUAAUCCUGACAUUACGAUUUAACAUGGCACUGACAUAUCAGCAAAUGAUAGAACAUGAACAUACCAUGUCUAGUCUUAUCUGCAAUGGAAUACAAUGAUCUGAAUAUGAAGAGCUUUAGGUGCAUUUUUAAUUGACUUUGUACUUCUUAACACAAAAAUGGAUAUUAUUUUGCCACACUGUGUACCUCUCUUUCUUAAAACAUUAGCUUUUAUUGUGCAUCCUGAAGGUACCGUAUAUUAAGCAUCUUCGCAUCUUUAGACAUGACAGGUUUGGCCGAUUGAUGAUGUUAUCAGCUGCACAGAACAGAUUCUAAAAUUUUCUCCCAUCUGUACUGGCUCUCAUGGUAUGGAGUUCAUCCUACUCAAGUGACAUCACUUCCUAUUGUUUAUAAAAGGAAGACAAGAAUUUGAUGUUCACUGCUGUUGGAAGGACUUGAUGGUGUGGGUUCAUCGUUUUUUGGUUACAGCUAAAGGAUUGGAUGAUGAUAAGGCAAUUCGAGAUGACUGUUCUGGACAAUAAUUUGCAUGGAGAUGGUAUUAAGUUUCAUGAUUUUAGAGCUGUCAGCUCUCCUAUAGCGUAUGUUUUUUCUUUCACGUUUUGGCAUUUAUGAGAUACAGUCUGUUGGUAUGCAGUAUUCUGUUGCUUAUUCGCUUUCCGUUGCUGGUAUGCUGUACCUGUAUAGCAUUGGUAUGAGAUACAACAGUGUGUUGAUGCAGUCAAAGAUCCAGCUGGACGGUGUCUGAGUUCCGUUUGAUCUUGAUCCACCGGCUCCAUGCACCGUUCUUGAUUAUUCCUUCGUUAACUUUUUUUUCCUGAAGAUAUGAUACCGCAUGACACAUUAAUGUUGGUGGUCUAAUUUCGAGACUGCAAUUCAAGGUUCUAGUGCAUCAUUGAUCUUCAUUCUGCUCCUGGAUAUCAACGGAAACGGCGCACAGCGCUAGCAUAUAUGAACUGAGCUUUCCUUGUAAUUUACUAGCAUAUAUGAACUGAGUUCUACUACUUGGUCGCCGAGCUCGUGCGCAUCUU
This is a long non-coding RNA of Panicum virgatum (switchgrass), 2440 nucleotides long. RefSeq lists it as uncharacterized. The transcript has 3 exons. The record is from RefSeq and is a predicted model, not a curated record. NCBI's taxonomy places the organism in Eukaryota, Viridiplantae, Streptophyta, Magnoliopsida, Poales, Poaceae.